CACACAUAUAUAUAUAUUUAUACACACACACAAUAAUCACACACAUAAAGCAAAAAAAGAAUUAAUUAAAAUAGUUGUUUCAAAUGUUAUGUUAGUUAUUUUACUAUUUAAUUUUUAAAAAGUCAACCUUUUGUACAUGCAGUAGAUGGGGCAUGUACAGGAAUUGAAGGUCCAGAGUUUUGAAGUUUGUGGAAUUUAGGUGGAAAAAGCUGUUCAGCUGAGCUUUACGCCUGCAUUAUUUAGUUUCACUCUUCAAUUUUUAAUCAAAAAAGUCGAAAUUCAAAUAUAAUUAGAAGAUUUUACCUUUUCUCUUUUCUCUUUUCUCCCUCCAACGCUUCCCUUGCUUUCUCUCAAGUUGACCUGUUUCCUUAAUUAUUAUUUAUAUGAAAUAUAUACUCAGUCUGCAGAAUAUUUUUUGCAUGUAUAUGACUUCAGAGUUGACCACUAGGUAUUUAAUUGUUGUUACAUCACCCUUCAUUAAACAAGCACCCACUGAGCCUGUUUUGAUGAUUCCUAAUUUGUAGUGGGCUGGCCUAAUGCUACUUGUAUUCUAAUGCUAAUUUCGGAUGACCCUGCCCCAGUUAAUUGUGAAUGGCAAAUAAAGAUGCCAACUGCCAAUAUCUAGGUAGAAGAGACAUAGGUGGGGUUGAGGUUUCACAGGCAUGGGGAGAGGACAACAAGGAGGGAAGGAGGAGGAAGAACCCACCAUGGAAUAGAAGAAGAUGCAGGAGAGGAGAAGGAGAAACAGCAAUGUGUUAAAAGAGAGGAGAGUAUGACCCUGGGGGGUGCCCAAUAGGAGCUAAGAGCAGCCCAGAUGAAACAAAGUAAUAUCUCAGGGUUAUUGAAAGAAAAAUAGAUUCUAAUAGCAUUGAGGGUAGGCAGCUGCUUAGGGUAUAUUGUAAAUAUAAAGGCUGAAUACGUCUUUCUUCUGGGAACCUAAUGAACAAGGCUGAGUAGAAGACCCAGCCCAGGAGUUUACAUAAUUUUUAACACUAAUUCUUAUAGGAAAAAUAUAGUCUUAACCAGAAAGCAGUGCUCAAUGGCAAAUAAUGUAUCUAAGUUUUUCAGCAAAUAGUCCAGUAGAGAUUUACCUUAAAAGGUGCUCAACUACUAAUUUUUCUUUCUAUUCUUAGAAGACACAUAAAGCUCGAUACAUGAAAGGACAGGGAGAUAAGGCAGCCUUAUAUGAGAUGCUUGAGGACACAGAAGCCAGGAGAGUGAAGAGACUCUUUUCAAGGUAAACGUAACUGACUGACAGCACAGAAUGGACAAGAAUCAAAUUCUGAUUCUUCUUUCAGAGUCAUGCCCUGAAGACAACCCAUGCUGGAUGUGGUGAACUGCUUAAUUUCCAAAACAAGGGAAGAAGUGAUGACAAACCCAAGCUACUGUCUGAAUAUUUCAUGGACAUCCCUGUCUAUUCCCUGAACCAUGCGAAGUCUGAUUCUCAGAGAAGUGGCCUGCCCAGCUAGGGAACUCUCUAAUAUUCUCUGCUUAUGAUCCAUUCAGGUUCUGGAACUCUGAACCUUGGCUGUCAUGUUCCAACAGCAAAUGCGUUUACACACCAAACAACUUCCACUGCUCUUCUACUGCUUAUUGAAUGGGAUCCCUAGAGUCUGAUGUCUGGGACAGAAAACUCAUUUUUCAAGGGUAAUGCAGGAACAAAGAAUGGAGCAGAGACUGAAGGAAAGACCAUCCAAAGACUGCCUCACCUAGGCAUCCAUCCUAUCUGAAGACAUCAAACCCAUACACUCUUCCUGAUGCCAAGAAAUGCUAGCUGACAAGAGCCUGGUAUAGCUGUCCCCUGAGAGACUGUGCCAGAGCCUGACCAAUACAAAGGAAGAUGCUUGCAGCCAACAAUGAACUGAGCACUGGGACCCCAAUGGAGAAGUUAUGGCAAGGACUGAAGGAGCUGAUGGGUUUUGCAACCCCAUAGGAAGAAUAAAAAAAUCAACCAACCAGAACCCCCACACCCCCAAAGCUCCCGGGACUAAACCACCAGCCAAAGAGUACACAUGGAGCCUUGUGGCUCCAGCUGCAUACAUAGCAGAAGAUUACCUUAUCUGGUAUCAACAGGAAGGGAGCCCCUUGGUCCUAUGGAGGCUUGAUGAUCCAGAGUAGGGGAAUGCUAUGGCACUGAGGCUGGAGUGGGUUGGAGGGUGGUGGAACACCCUCAUAGAAGCAGGGGAAACAGGGGAAGAGGAUAAGGGAUUUACCUGGGAAGGGGGAUAACAUUUGAAUUGUAAAUAAAUAAAAUAACCAAUAAAAUAAAAAAUUUUUUAAAAAGACAAAAAAAUUCUAGCAAAAUAUACUUUUAGCAAUUGAAAACUAUUUUCAAAUUGAAGGUAAAAAAAUGGACCUGGACUAUCCAAAAUAUAUGAAAAGUAAUUGUAUUGUACUACCUGUCAUAAAGAUUUACAUCAAAUUUGCAAUAAGACUGUUUAGUGUUUGAAUAAAUAUAGAUUUGAUGACCCAUGAAGCAGAAAGAUGAAUCCAGAAAUGAAAAGAUUGACAUUUGAAACAAGAUGUGAAAUUAAUUCAGUUGGGGGAAGGUGAGUACUGUUAAUGAUGGUGCUAAGAAGUUUAGAUGGCCA
Non-coding RNA from Rattus norvegicus (Norway rat), 2591 nucleotides. NCBI's taxonomy places the organism in Eukaryota, Metazoa, Chordata, Mammalia, Rodentia, Muridae. The record is from RefSeq and is a predicted model, not a curated record.